GACGAACGCUGGCGGCGUGCUUAACACAUGCAAGUCGAACGGAAAGGCCCCGCUUUUGUGGGGUGCUCGAGUGGCGAACGGGUGAGUAACACGUGAGUAACCUGCCCUUGACUUUGGGAUAACUUCAGGAAACUGGGGCUAAUACCGGAUAGGAGCUCCUGCUGCAUGGUGGGGGUUGGAAAGUUUCGGCGGUUGGGGAUGGACUCGCGGCUUAUCAGCUUGUUGGUGGGGUAGUGGCUUACCAAGGCUUUGACGGGUAGCCGGCCUGAGAGGGUGACCGGCCACAUUGGGACUGAGAUACGGCCCAGACUCCUACGGGAGGCAACAGUGGGGAAUAUUGCACAAUGGGCGGAAGCCUGAUGCAGCAACGCCGCGUGCGGGAUGACGGCCUUCGGGUUGUAAACCGCUUUCGCCUGUGACGAAGCGUGAGUGACGGUAAUGGGUAAAGAAGCACCGGCUAACUACGUG
RNAcentral lists this ribosomal RNA (468 nucleotides) under uncultured bacterium. Its description in RNAcentral is "partial 16S ribosomal RNA". It matches the Rfam family "Bacterial small subunit ribosomal RNA", at positions 28 to 507 of the family's 1533-position model. The record is from RNAcentral.